UAGGAAGCAGGUACCCACGUGCCAUCUCCUCAUUGGAUUUACCCAUGUGGGUGAUAUAAAGAUGAACGAGGUCAGUGGCGGUAAGGCGUUGGAUGAGUCACCCAGCCCCAGAGCGCUUCAGAGUAUGUGUAGGUCCGUUACCCCUCCUGUACCCUCCAACGGCUUCUCAUGCCAUCUGCGGGGUGCCAUCUGGUUCACAGUGGAGAUCAGGCAAAACAGAACACGUUCAUCCUUUGCAGUGAGAAGAGCGAUUCCAGCCCCUGUGUGUGUGUGUUAUUAAACACACAGAAACCACUACAAACGUCCUCUAGAUGUGUUUGGUUGGAUCAUAAUGGUAUCAUCAGAUACUAAUAAGAACUCCACAUACGCAGUGUCCUGACUAUGUUUCUCAAACACUUGGUCUGUAAUGCAAGCAUAUGACAUUAUGACAAUUUCUGGUCUACAGUACCAUUGUACUCUCUCCCUUGGGGAUGCUGGGAAAGCAAUGAAUAGACUACACUAAUUAAAUCCAUUUGUUUCUAUAAUUAUCUCUGGUAAUUUUCUAAACCUGGGAAGAGCUACCCAACUGAUUUUUUUCCCAUUAGCUUUGCGCAAGGUCCUGAAGAAGACAAUGUG
This is a long non-coding RNA of Oncorhynchus gorbuscha (pink salmon), 615 nucleotides long. RefSeq lists it as uncharacterized. The transcript is spliced from 3 exons. The record is from RefSeq and is a predicted model, not a curated record. Lineage: Eukaryota; Metazoa; Chordata; Actinopteri; Salmoniformes; Salmonidae.